AUGGUUGGCUUUUCGGCAUCCACCACUUGUGCUCUCCUCCUCCUGCUCAUCUUCUUCUUCUACCUUCCUACUGUUGCCAUCUCCUUGUCCUUCAACUACUCCACAUUCAGCUCAGCGGACCAGAACGCCAUCAAGAUCGAAGGCGACGCAUCCUUCAGCGUUGGAUGGGUCGACAUCAGCGCCAACAGGUACGGAAGCAUCGACUACAGCAAUGGCCGGGCAUCGUACAAUGCCCAGCCGAUGCUGCUAUGGGACAGGGCGACCGGCGAGGUUGCCAGCUUCACCACGUGCUUCUCGUUCGUCAUCUCCAGCAACAUCAGCAGCAAGGGGCAAGGCAUGGCCUUCUUUCUCGCCGGCUACCCGUCCAGCCUGCCAGCCCGCUGCCCUGACUACAACCUCGCCCUCACCAGCCAGAGCGCGGAUGCCGUGGCGGCCGGCGACAGCCGGUUCGUGGCGGUGGAGUUCGACACCUUCAACAAUACAGUGGUGUCCGACCCCCACGAUACCUUCGACCACAUCGGCAUCGACAUCAGCUCCCUCCGGUCGGUGCGCACACUGACUAUGCCAAGCUUCGAGCUGACGGGCAACCUGACUGCCGACAUCAACUACGACAAUGUUUCCAGCAUCUUGUCAGUGACGGUGUGGCUCGGUGAUGAUAACGAAGGCAAGCCAAGAAACAGGAGUUACAACCUUCGCUCCAAGGUUGACCUCAAGAGCGCACUGCCGGAGCAGGUCUCGGUCGGCUUCUCCGCAUCCACAUCCAACGCCAUCGAACUGCAUCAGCUACACUCUUGGUCCUUCAUAUCUUCAUUGGAACCGCCGCCGCCGCCAGCAGCAGCAAUAUCUUCCCUGUCAAGGCUGGGUCCGGGAGUAAUAGCCGGGGCAGCUGCUGGUGCAUCAGUGUCCCUCGUGCUCAUCUUCGCCGCUACAGUGGCACUCGUUGUGCGUCGCCACCAUCAACAAAAAAUGGUGGAGAUGGAUGAGUACCACACAGACUCGGAAGGCGAAGGUGACCCGAUGAUGGAGAUCGAGAUGGUGAAGGGGCCAAGGCGGUUCUCAUACCACGAGCUCGUGGAAGCGACGAGGAACUUUGCCGCGGAGGAGAAGCUUGGGCAAGGUGGCUUCGGUGCGGUUUACCGAGGCUACCUGAGAGCCAGCUGGGCUUCCCGUGGCCAUUAA
Molecule: ribosomal RNA, 1179 nt
Filed under: Triticum aestivum (bread wheat)
Lineage: Eukaryota; Viridiplantae; Streptophyta; Magnoliopsida; Poales; Poaceae
Description: partial small subunit ribosomal RNA
Source: RNAcentral